UCACACAGUGGGAGUUCCGUGCAUGUGU
This 28-nucleotide non-coding RNA is filed under the name Homo sapiens (human). Lineage: Eukaryota; Metazoa; Chordata; Mammalia; Primates; Hominidae. The record is from RNAcentral.